UACGUAGGCGGCAAGCGUUGUCCGGAUUUACUGGGCGUAAAGAGCGCGCAGGCGGUCGUUCAAGUCGCGUGUGAAAGCCCCCGGCUCAACUGGGGAGGGUCACGCGAUACUGAUCGACUCGAAGGCAGGAGAGGGUAGUGGAAUUCCCGGUGUAGUGGUGAAAUGCGUAGAUAUUUGGAAGAACACCGGUGGCGAAGGCGGCUCACUGGUCCGAUACUGACACUGAGGUGCGAAAGCGUGGGGAGCAAACAGG
This 253-nucleotide ribosomal RNA is filed under the name uncultured prokaryote. Its description in RNAcentral is "partial 16S ribosomal RNA". It matches the Rfam family "Bacterial small subunit ribosomal RNA", at positions 524 to 776 of the family's 1533-position model. The record is from RNAcentral.